AGAGUUUGAUCCUGGCUCAGGAUGAACGCUAGCUACAGGCUUAACACAUGCAAGUCGAGGGGCAUCAGUUUGGUUUGCUUGCAAACCAAAGCUGGCGACCGGCGCACGGGUGAGUAACACGUAUCCAACCUGCCUCAUACUCGGGGAUAGCCUUUCGAAAGAAAGAUUAAUAUCCGAUAGCAUAUAUUUCCCGCAUGGGUUUUAUAUUAAAGAAAUUCGGUAUGAGAUGGGGAUGCGUUCCAUUAGUUUGUUGGGGGGGUAACGGCCCACCAAGACUACGAUGGAUAGGGGUUCUGAGAGGAAGGUCCCCCACAUUGGAACUGAGACACGGUCCAAACUCCUACGGGAGGCAGCAGUGAGGAAUAUUGGUCAAUGGACGCGAGUCUGAACCAGCCAAGUAGCGUGAAGGAUGACUGCCCUAUGGGUUGUAAACUUCUUUUAUAUGGGAAUAAAGUGGUCCACGUGUGGACUUUUGUAUGUACCAUAUGAAUAAGGAUCGGCUAACUCCGUGCCAGCAGCCGCGGUAAUACGGAGGAUCCGAGCGUUAUCCGGAUUUAUUGGGUUUAAAGGGAGCGUAGGCGGAUUGUUAAGUCAGUUGUGAAAGUUUGCGGCUCAACCGUAAAAUUGCAGUUGAUACUGGCAGUCUUGAGUGCAGUAGAGGUGGGCGGAAUUCGUGGUGUAGCGGUGAAAUGCUUAGAUAUCACGAAGAACUCCGAUUGCGAAGGCAGCUCACUGGAGUGUAACUGACGCUGAUGCUCGAAAGUGUGGGUAUCAAACAGGAUUAGAUACCCUGGUAGUCCACACAGUAAACGAUGAAUACUCGCUGUUUGCGAUAUACAGUAAGCGGCCAAGCGAAAGCGUUAAGUAUUCCACCUGGGGAGUACGCCGGCAACGGUGAAACUCAAAGGAAUUGACGGGGGCCCGCACAAGCAGUGGAGUAUGUGGUUUAAUUCGAAGCAACGCGAAGAACCUUACCAGGUCUUGACAUCCGAUGCAUAGCUUAGAGAUAAGUGAAGUCCUUCGGGACAUCGAGACAGGUGGUGCAUGGUUGUCGUCAGCUCGUGUCGUGAGAUGUUGGGUUAAGUCCCGCAACGAGUGCAACCCUUAUUGCCAGUUACUACGAAAGAGGACUCUGGCGAGACUGCCGUUGACAAAACGGAGGAAGGUGGGGAUGACGUCAAAUCAUCAUGCCCUUUAUGACCUGGGCUACACACGUAAUACAAUGGCCGUUAACAACGGGAGGCAAAACCGCGAGGUAGAGCAAAACCCUAAAAACGGUCCCAGUUCGGAUCGCAGGCUGCAACCCGCCUGCGUGAAGUUGGAAUUGCUAGUAAUCGCGGAUCAGCAUGCCGCGGUGAAUACGUUCCCGGGCCUUGCACUCACCGCCCGUCAAG
Molecule: ribosomal RNA, 1394 nt
Filed under: uncultured bacterium
Lineage: Bacteria
Description: bacterial SSU rRNA
Rfam family: Bacterial small subunit ribosomal RNA
Source: RNAcentral